This is a long non-coding RNA of Liolophura sinensis, 581 nucleotides long. RefSeq lists it as uncharacterized. The transcript is spliced from 4 exons. The record is from RefSeq and is a predicted model, not a curated record. Lineage: Eukaryota; Metazoa; Mollusca; Polyplacophora; Chitonida; Chitonidae.
AAGGUGACAUGAAUUUAAUAAAGGCGUCAUACACUAAUAUAAUAAGAUAUAUCAUAGAUUUACAUAAAUUGUAUAAAUAUGAUAAGCUGUCGACGUAAACAUGGAGAGGGUUUGAUGUCGCGGCCAGAUGCAGCUGUUAUAAUGGCAGACAAUGUAGCUGGAUGGGUGUUUUGUUUACCACAAAGACCAGCAGGUGCCGGCAUCAAUGCCAAGAUACACAAUUACUUUAAAGGCCAUCUUUUAAAUGCCAACAUAUGUGACCAAUGAUCAAUGCUAUAGUGUUUAUAACGGUGGGUACCUCAAGAGAAAUGCACUUUGAAACCGCACGCUAAUCCGGGAUUUUCACACAUAGUCAACUCCACCAUGCUGAAAUUCUUCGUUGCUGUGGCCCUGACCACAUUCGCCUAUGUCUCCGCCCAGAACUGCGAUGGUUGUGUGGACGAAGACGGUUCAUGCAAAGGAGUUUCGGAGGUACGGAUGUCCAUUACAGAGGACAAAAGCUUCUGUGCCUACGAGAAAUGUAAAUCUAAUGGCAACUGGCAGUUGUUUCAGUACAAGUGCUACUACGAGCCCUCUGAUAC